UACGUAGGGUGCGAGCGUUGUCCGGAAUUACUGGGCGUAAAGCGCGCGCAGGCGGUCUUCCAAGUCAGUGGUGAAAGCCCGGAGCUCAACUCCGGAACUGCCAUUGAAACUGUAAGACUUGAGGAUGAGAGAGGUGAGUGGAAUUCCCAGUGUAGAGGUGAAAUUCGUAGAUAUUGGGAAGAACACCGGUGGCGAAGGCGGCUCACUGGCUCAUAUCUGACGCUCAGGCGCGAAAGCGUGGGGAUCAAACAGG
RNAcentral lists this ribosomal RNA (253 nucleotides) under uncultured bacterium. RNAcentral describes it as "partial 16S ribosomal RNA". It matches the Rfam family "Bacterial small subunit ribosomal RNA", at positions 524 to 776 of the family's 1533-position model. The record is from RNAcentral.